GUCAGGAUGAACGCUGGCGGCGUGCUUAACACAUGCAAGUCGAACGGAGUGUAAACGCUGAAGCGAUUUCGGUCAAUUCUUGUUUAUACUUAGUGGCGGACGGGUGAGUAACGCGUGGGUAACCUGCCGUAUGCACGGGGGACAACAGUUGAAACGACUGCUAAUACCGCAUAAGCGCACAGAUAGGCAUCUAUCAGUGUGAAAAGAUUUCGGCAUACGAUGGACCCGCGUCUGAUUUAGCUUGUUGGUGAGGUAACGGCCCACCAAGGCGACGAUCAGUAGCCGGCCUGAGAGGGUGAACGGCCACAUUGGGACUGAGACACGGCCCAAACUCCUACGGGAGGCAGCAGUGGGGAAUAUUGGACAAUGGGGGAAACCCUGAUCCAAGCGACGCCGCGUGAGUGAAGAAGUAUUUCGGUAGUGUAAAGCUCUAUCAGCAAGGAGAAAAUGACGGUACUUGACUAAGAAGCUCCGGCUAAAUACGUGCCAGCCGCUGC
RNAcentral lists this ribosomal RNA (497 nucleotides) under uncultured bacterium. RNAcentral's name for it is "bacterial SSU rRNA". It matches the Rfam family "Bacterial small subunit ribosomal RNA", at positions 23 to 518 of the family's 1533-position model. The record is from RNAcentral.